UUGGGAAUCUUGGACAAUGGGGGAAACCCUGAUCCAGCCAUGCCGCGUGAGUGAUGAAGGCCUUCGGGUUGUAAAACUCUUUCGACGGGGACGAUAAUGACGGUACCCGUAGAAGAAGCUCCGGCUAACUUCGUGCCAGCAGCCGCGGUAAUACGAAGGGGGCUAGCGUUGUUCGGAAUUACUGGGCGUAAAGCGCGCGCAGGCGGCUAUCCAAGUCAGUGGUGAAAGCCCGGAGCUCAACUCCGGAACUGCCAUUGAAACUGUUUAGCUUGAGGACGAGAGAGGUGAGUGUAAUUCCCAGUGUAGAGGUGAAAUUCGUAGAUAUUGGGAAGAACACCAGUGGCGAAGGCGGCUCACUGGCUCGUAUCUGACGCUCAGGCGCGAUAGCGUGGGGAUCAAACA
This 402-nucleotide ribosomal RNA is filed under the name uncultured prokaryote. Its description in RNAcentral is "bacterial SSU rRNA". It matches the Rfam family "Bacterial small subunit ribosomal RNA", at positions 355 to 774 of the family's 1533-position model. The record is from RNAcentral.